This 490-nucleotide ribosomal RNA is filed under the name uncultured bacterium. Its description in RNAcentral is "partial 16S ribosomal RNA". It matches the Rfam family "Bacterial small subunit ribosomal RNA", at positions 30 to 507 of the family's 1533-position model. The record is from RNAcentral.
AUUGAACGCUGGCGGCAGGCCUAACACAUGCAAGUCGAACGGUAACAGGAAGCGGCUUGCUGCUUUGCUGACGCGUGGCGGACGGGUGAGUAAUGUCUGGGAAACUGCCCGAUGGAGGGGGAUAACUACUGGAAACGGUAGCUAAUACCGCAUAACGUCGCAAGACCAAAGAGGGGGACCUUAGGGCCUCUUGCCAUCGUAUGUGCCCAGAUGGGAUUAGCUAGUAGGUGGGGUAACGGCUCACCUAGGCGACGAUCCCUAGCUGGUCUGAGAGGAUGACCAGCCACACUGGAACUGAGACACGGUCCAGACUCCUACGGGAGGCAGCAGUGGGGAAUAUUGCACAAUGGGCGCAAGCCUGAUGCAGCCAUGCCGCGUGUAUGAAGAAGGCCUUCGGGUUGUAAAGUACUUUCAGCGGGGAGGAAGGGAGGAAAGUUAAUACCUUUGCGCAUUGACGUUACCCGCAGAAGAAGCACCGGCUAACUCCGUG